AGAGUUUGAUUCUGGCUCAGAUUGAACGCUGGCGGCAGGCCUAACACAUGCAAGUCGAACGGUAACAGGAAGAAGCUUGCUUCUUUGCUGACGAGUGGCGGACGGGUGAGUAAUGUCUGGGAAACUGCCUGAUGGAGGGGGAUAACUACUGGAAACGGUAGCUAAUACCGCAUAACGUCGCAAGACCAAAGAGGGGGACCUUCGGGCCUCUUGCCAUCGGAUGUGCCCAGAUGGGAUUAGCUAGUAGGUGGGGUAACGGCUCACCUAGGCGACGAUCCCUAGCUGGUCUGAGAGGAUGACCAGCCACACUGGAACUGAGACACGGUCCAGACUCCUACGGGAGGCAGCAGUGGGGAAUAUUGCACAAUGGGCGCAAGCCUGAUGCAGCCAUGCCGCGUGUAUGAAGAAGGCCUUCGGGUUGUAAAGUACUUUCAGCGGGGAGGAAGGGAGUAAAGUUAAUACCUUUGCUCAUUGACGUUACCCGCAGAAGAAGCACCGGCUAACUCCGUGCCAGCAGCCGCGGUAAUACGGAGGGUGCAAGCGUUAAUCGGAGUUACUGGGCGUAAAGCGCACGCAGGCGGUUUGUUAAGUCAGAUGUGAAAUCCCCGGGCUCAACCUGGGAACUGCAUCUGAUACUGGCAAGCUUGAGUCUCGUAGAGGGGGGUAGAAUUCCAGGUGUAGCGGUGAAAUGCGUAGAGAUCUGGAGGAAUACCGGUGGCGAAGGCGGCCCCCUGGACGAAGACUGACGCUCAGGUGCGAAAGCGUGGGGAGCAAACCAGGAUUAGAUACCCUGGUAGUCCACGCCGUAAACGAUGUCGACUUGGAGGUUGUGCCCUUUUAGGGCGUGGCUUCCGGAGCUAAACGCGUGAAGUCGACCGCCCUGGGGAGUACGGCCGCAAGGUUAAAACUCAAAUGAAUUGACGGGGGCCCGCACAAGCGGUGGAGCAUGUGGUUUAAUUCGAUGCAACGCGAAGAACCUUACCUGGUCUUGACAUCCACAGAACUUUCCAGAGAUGGAUUGGUGCCUUCGGGAACUGUGAGACAGGUGCUGCAUGGCUGUCGUCAGCUCGUGUUGUGAAAUGUUGGGUUAAGUCCCGCAACGAGCGCAACCCUUAUCCUUUGUUGCCAGCGGUCCGGCCGGGAACUCAAAGGAGACUGCCAGUGAUAAACUGGAGGAAGGUGGGGAUGACGUCAAGUCAUCAUGGCCCUUACGACCAGGGCUACACACGUGCUACAAUGGCGCAUACAAAGAGAAGCGACCUCGCGAGAGCAAGCGGACCUCAUAAAGUGCGUCGUAGUCCGGAUUGGAGUCUGCAACUCGACUCCAUGAAGUCGGAAUCGCUAGUAAUCGUGGAUCAGAAUGCCACGGUGAAUACGUUCCCGGGCCUUGUACACACCGCCCGUCA
This 1406-nucleotide ribosomal RNA is filed under the name uncultured bacterium. RNAcentral's name for it is "bacterial SSU rRNA". It matches the Rfam family "Bacterial small subunit ribosomal RNA". The record is from RNAcentral.